This is a non-coding RNA of Danio rerio (zebrafish), 72 nucleotides long. Lineage: Eukaryota; Metazoa; Chordata; Actinopteri; Cypriniformes; Danionidae. The record is from Rfam.
GGCUCGUUGGUCUAGGGGUAUGAUUCUCGCUUAGGGUGCGAGAGGACCCGGGUUCAAAUCCCGCACGAGCCC